Bemisia tabaci is the source of this 662-nucleotide long non-coding RNA. RefSeq lists it as uncharacterized. NCBI's taxonomy places the organism in Eukaryota, Metazoa, Arthropoda, Insecta, Hemiptera, Aleyrodidae. The record is from RefSeq and is a predicted model, not a curated record.
CACCAGACAACUAUCUGAUUUAAUUUAAUUUGAGACUUGAAGCAAGUAACUCAAUAUUACCUAUGUCAGUUUGGUGACGCUAUGUGUUUUAGUUUGUGGCCACUCAAGAGAUAGUGCUUGUGUGCGGAUUAAGGCAUGACUGAGUGGGGAAGAGGAGAACAAACAGACGUGUACUUGAUAAAUCCACAUAUUUCUUCCAAUUUCAGCAUGAUCUCAGUUUUUUCCAUGGUUUUUGGAGUGUCUCACUUACCUACUCAAUGUCAGUUUGGUGAUGCUGUUUUCCAUCAAAACUUUUGGUGAAAUUUGCAAGGAAUAUCACUCUCCGAGAAAAAGUUGGGAAACUGCUGUGCCAUUCACUGGAGCACCACUAGGUAGGCGUACUGCAAUAGAGGGCUAUUGCAGUAAAGUUGAGUUUUCAAGCAAUCUUUGGGCCGAUUUCACAGGCUUCAGCUUCUUUUGAAGCUGAAAGUAUGCCUGACAAGUCUCUUUCCUCAGAAUUAGUUCAUCACUCUUUCUCCAGAAGAUACCAAAGAGGGCGCUUCUCUACACAGAUGUACCUUGCUUGAAUGCAAUUUUAAUUUAAUCACUCACUCCUAACUUUUGUCACCAAGAAACUUUAUGUAUAGCUGAUUUCAUAAUAAAAAUGGCUCUUAAGAUUACAA